This 1566-nucleotide long non-coding RNA is filed under the name Marmota monax (woodchuck). Lineage: Eukaryota; Metazoa; Chordata; Mammalia; Rodentia; Sciuridae. The record is from RNAcentral.
GGAGGGUUCAGCAGGUAGGUGGUGGCAAGAAGUCCUGGGAGGAAUGUUCCAUGCCAGUCUUUUGGUCUAUCUUCAUAAACAGUAUCUGAAGGUCAUUCUGCUUGAAAAUUACACUCAGGAAGCCUUAACCCUACCACUAUUUCUAAGGCCCAUCCCCCACUCCUGCUACCUUUUACUGAUUCUGUUACAAUCGACAAGUGCUUACAGUCCUGUAAGAAGCCAGGAUUCCAGGCUUCCCUUCAUCUAGACAGGGCUUUGAGUGGGAUCCAGCCCAACUGGCCCUACUUUGGUGCACACUCUGAAUGGUUUCUAGAAUCAGCAUGGAUUUAGGUGUGUGUUCUAUGGACCAUGUUCCAUUAGUUUGGUGCUGUAAGGCUACCCUGUGGAAAUAGAAAGAAUCACCCUCUGCUUACACAGUGAUCCACCGGGAGAAGUCAACCCGAACAGGAGAUGUUGCCUUUGAGCAACAGGCUUACUACUGCAUCCUGUCAGGCCUGCUGCCUGGCUGAUUUUCUACCCCAUUACAGGGCCACUUGCAACCCAUCACACAUCUUAGGCCUAGUAAUGGUGGUCAGUCAUGUUGUCCCUGCCGCAGCCCCAAUUGCACAUUCAACCUGAGCAACCACAUGGACUCUGUGCAGCCUUUGAAAUCUGUGGGGCUGAGCUGUCCCAAAGGUGUUUUAGAAAGAGAUGUUAGCCAUCACUGUGGCAGUCACAGCUGACUGUCUCACACACACCCACUCUAUUGCUGAUGGCACUUAGCUCAUGAACUCCAGGUUGAUUGGCCUGAUUUGUGCUCCUUAGGGUAUGUUCUCAUUUUCUGGACUAAGACAUAGUUGAGUGACUAAACCAUGCCUCCUGCCCUCCUGCCCUGUCCUAACCUUAAUGCAAAUGCAAUGUGAUUCAAGUCCUGAUGCAGUUGCCUUAGGACCUGGGUCCACAGAAGCUGGAAGCAGGGGUCGGAUGAGUCAGGGGACUCAGGUAGAGGGGCUGUGCUUGCCAGCAGCAUCAGGUGCCUGGUGAGAGGAGCACUGUUCAGGCUCAGCUGCACCACUUUCUCUCUGUGGGUCUCAGUUGCCUCAGCUAUACAAGCUGCCCUUCAUGUCUUAGUAGGGGUGCUAUGAAGAAGACCUUAAUAAAGACAAAGCCGCUUCACCAGGGUUGCUUAUUUUGUUUUGCAGUCAUGUAAUUUCCAUUCAUUCAUGUGUGGCCUGUGUAAACCAUCUGCUUCUUAGGUCAUUAAAAUAGAUCCAUUUAGUGUUAGCUCAGUCUUCAAUGGCUUUAGUCAGUAGGGUGAACAGCACAGUCCAGUUAGGGUAUUGAGGAUAGUCACUGCCCCAUAGCUCAGAGCUCUCCAGCCUGCCAAUUCAAGGCUCUGAGGAAGAAGGGAAAGGGAUCUAGGCUGACUGGGACCCUGGACUUUGUUUCCAUUCCCAAAACAGCAUGGAGAGGGUAACGCGCUCGCCUGGUAUGCGUGCAGGCCCGGGUUCGAUCCUCAGCACCACAUACAAAGAUGUGUCCGCUGAAAACUGAAAAAUAAAUAUUAAAAAAAACUCUCUCUCUCUC